This is a non-coding RNA of Dermacentor andersoni, 1411 nucleotides long. Lineage: Eukaryota; Metazoa; Arthropoda; Arachnida; Ixodida; Ixodidae. The record is from RefSeq and is a predicted model, not a curated record.
ACGUUAAGGGAUAAGAAAAGAGCAGAUUGGGUGAGGCAACAAACGCGGGUAAACGACAUCUUAGUUGAAAUCAAGAAAAAGAAAUGGGCAUGGGCCGGACAUGUAAUGAGGAGGGAAGAUAACCGAUGGUCACUAAGAGCUACGGACUGGAUUCCAAGAGAAGGGAAGCGUAGCAGGGGGCGGCAGAAAGUUAGGUGGGCAGAUGACAUUAAGACGUUUGCAGGGACAACAUGGCCACAAUUAGUACAUGACCGGGGCAGUUGGAGAAGUAUGGGAGAGGCCUUUGCCCUGCAGUGGGCGUAACUAGGCUGAUGAUGAUGAUGACCAAUCCCUCCAAAAUAUUACACAGACGCACGCACGCACGCACGUGCACAGCACACACGCCAAAAGGAAACGGCGACGCGCUCACAGGAAGCGCCUGACAAAAAAAAAAAAAAGAAAAAAAAGGAAAAGUGUGGGGAACCGAGGUCGUUUGCGCUGUCGCAUCUCCCUCUCCCAGAAGGAAUGAAGAGGUUCUUGGAAAGCAGGGACGGGCGAUUCUCUCUGUCAGCAUCAGCUCCCACCAGCGAGGACGGGGCGAGAAAGCGAAGCGGGACUUUCCUUGCUGUCUAUUUUUUCUUCGUCACGCUCACCGCCGGCUGCCCGCAGGGGCGCAGGCGAGUUCCCGCCAAAUGGCGCGGGGGCGCAAGCAGUUGCGUGAGUUGCCGCCAAAUGCUAGCUCUGGAUGCCAGCUCGUUCCGCGUCUCUUGGUAGACUAGUUGGUGCAUUUCUGUUAUCAUGGACUGCGCAUAGAAACGCAAACUACACAAAAGUGACUAGGACAAAAACAGCGCAAGCCCUUUCCAUGCAGUGGAGCCGCCGUAUCUCGCCGUUCAAGAUAUGCGUACUCGAAACACUGGAACGACACUGCUUAAAUUGAAGCACAGUGUGCGAAUGACCUGCUACGCUCGGAACUGUCGCCACCAUUCGGGAAGAAAUCAGAUGAAAAAACAAAACUGUAUAUGCCUGUACGAUAUACGUCUGGUGCAUUGCAGACCACGAUAACCACGUAUUUGGAUGUCUGGUUUAGCUCUACAUGCGCUGGUUCGUGCAGGGCAUACUUACAAAUGAAGCUGCACUGCAGUUCAGCUGGAAAGGGUCGCAGGGGAGGAAGCACGCCUUCGUGAAGCUCCCGGCCAUCACGAAUCUCAUUCUAACAUCUGUGAGGAGCACCUUCCCAGACGCUUCACUAGCUUCAGUGGCUGGAGUCACGAAACGCUGGUUAGUCGGAGCAGCUGACAGGGAUGGAGGCCGGAACGAGAGAAGGCGUCGUGACCCCGCUUCAAGCCCACCAUGAACUAGCAUUUGAAACUUUUGUGAACGUGUGGGUGUAUACAUAUCCAAGACAAAUACAAGAAAUAAAGACCUGCAU